CCUACGGGAGGCAGCAGUGAGGAAUAUUGGUCAAUGGUCGCGAGCCUGAACCAGCCAAGUCGCGUGAGGGAUGAAUGCACUGCGUAUUGUAAACUUCUUUUGUCAGGGAAUAAAGUGUGGCACGUGUGCCUGUUUGUGUGUACUUUAUGAAUAAGCAUCGGCUAACUCCGUGCCAGCAGCCGCGGUAAUACGGAGGAUGCGAGCGUUAUCCGGAUUUAUUGGGUUUAAAGGGUGCGUAGGCGGUCUGUUAAGUCAGUGGUCAAAUGGCGGGGCUCAACCCCUGCCCGCCAUUGAAACUGGCAGUCUCGAGUUGAAGAGAAGUAUGCGGAAUGCGCGGUGUAGCGGUGAAAUGCAUAGAUAUCGCGCAGAACUCCGAUUGCGAAGGCAGCAUGCCGGCUCCACACUGACGCUGAGGCACGAAAGCGUGGGUAUCGAACAGGAUUAGAUACCCGGGUAGUC
Molecule: ribosomal RNA, 459 nt
Filed under: uncultured bacterium
Lineage: Bacteria
Description: partial 16S ribosomal RNA
Rfam family: Bacterial small subunit ribosomal RNA
Source: RNAcentral